Molecule: ribosomal RNA, 988 nt
Filed under: Salinivibrio sp.
Lineage: Bacteria; Pseudomonadati; Pseudomonadota; Gammaproteobacteria; Vibrionales; Vibrionaceae
Description: bacterial SSU rRNA
Rfam family: Bacterial small subunit ribosomal RNA
Source: RNAcentral
CGGCAGUAUUGAAGCUUCGGUGGAUUUACUGGACGUCGAGCGGCGGACGGGUGAGUAACGGCUGGGAACCUGCCCUGACGAGGGGGAUAACCGUUGGAAACGACGGCUAAUACCGCAUAAUGUCUUGAUUCGUUAGAGUCAGGACCAAAGGUGGCCUCUACAUGUAAGCUAUCGCGUUGGGAUGGGCCCAGUUAGGAUUAGCUAGUUGGUAAGGUAAUGGCUUACCAAGGCAACGAUCCUUAGCUGGUUUGAGAGGAUGAUCAGCCACACUGGGACUGAGACACGGCCCAGACUCCUACGGGAGGCAGCAGUGGGGAAUAUUGCACAAUGGGGGAGACCCUGAUGCAGCCAUGCCGCGUGUGUGAAGAAGGCCUUCGGGUUGUAAAGCACUUUCAGCAGUGAGGAAGGUCGUGUACUUAAUACGUGCACGGCUUGACGUUAGCUGCAGAAGAAGCACCGGCUAACUCCGUGCCAGCAGCCGCGGUAAUACGGAGGGUGCGAGCGUUAAUCGGAAUUACUGGGCGUAAAGCGCAUGCAGGCGGUUUGUUAAGUCAGAUGUGAAAGCCCGGGGCUCAACCUCGGAACCGCAUUUGAAACUGGCAGGCUAGAGUCUUGUAGAGGGGGGUAGAAUUUCAGGUGUAGCGGUGAAAUGCGUAGAGAUCUGAAGGAAUACCAGUGGCGAAGGCGGCCCCCUGGACAAAGACUGACGCUCAGAUGCGAAAGCGUGGGUAGCAAACAGGAUUAGAUACCCUGGUAGUCCACGCCGUAAACGCUGUCUACUUGGAGGUUGAGGUUUUAGACUUUGGCUUUCGGCGCUAACGCAUUAAGUAGACCGCCUGGGGAGUACGGCCGCAAGGUUAAAACUCAAAUGAAUUGACGGGGGCCCGCACAAGCGGUGGAGCAUGUGGUUUAAUUCGAUGCAACGCGAAGAACCUUACCUACUCUUGACAUCCAGCGAAGCCUUUAGAGAUAGAGGCGUGCCUUCGGG